GAAAGUCCUACGUUCCCUCAACUUAAUACAACUUCGCCUCUCAGAGCACUCUGAGCAACUCGAUUCAAUCUCUACAUCUCUGCAGCAGCGAGAGGAGUCUUCAGAAGGGCGUGUGGUCAUACGACAGUUUCCCGACUUGGAAAGUCUUGUCAACUUCAGUGAGGAACUCAAACAGUCACCAGAAAAAAAGAAAUGUUGCGGAAAUACAUGACUUCACUGGGAGGCAACAACCUAGGGGACAGAGUUCGAAGAAUUCUUUACCACCUGAUCCCCGAUGAGGUAUCCGUAUGCUUCAACUGGACAGGAACAGGAGGAAAACGCAAAUUCAAGACCCUUGAAUUCACAAAUGUCAUGCUGGGUGUUAUUACCAGCCCUCCUAGCACUUCAACGGCGGCCGAGGUGGAGAAAGUCGUGCAAACCUGGCUUCGACAUGGGCAAGAAAGACUUCUGAAAAAAGUAUCCAAGCUGCCAGUAGACCCUAGAAGGGUCAACCACAAGAAAUCACACAGCCAAGGCAGCCAAGGAUUCAAUGCAACCGCCAUUUCCAUGUUGGUGACUGGUCCUCUUUUCUCUUGCAGGACCCCAUUGGGAAACAGUCACAUUGUGCAUUAAGACUUUUUACAUGAGAGGCGACAUGCAGGUCACUUGAGAGGUACUUCCAAGGGGCAUUUCUAUGCGUGCCGUUGGUGUCUUUCUUUGGGACUGACUGUUACAGCAGUAAUUUCAUAUUACUUACUUAGUUGGACAAUAUAGGUCAGCAUUUCAGGCCU
Molecule: long non-coding RNA, 770 nt
Organism: Ornithodoros turicata
Lineage: Eukaryota; Metazoa; Arthropoda; Arachnida; Ixodida; Argasidae
Exons: 3
Source: RefSeq, a predicted model, not a curated record